GACGAACGCUGGCGGCGCGCCUAACACAUGCAAGUCGAACGAGCGAGAGAGAGCUUGCUUUCUUGAGCGAGUGGCGAACGGGUGAGUAACGCGUGAGGAACCUGCCUCAAAGAGGGGGACAACAGUUGGAAACGACUGCUAAUGCCGCAUAAGCCCACGACCCGGCAUCGGGUUGAGGGAAAAGGAGCAAUCCGCUUUGAGAUGGCCUCGCGUCCGAUUAGCUAGUUGGUGAGGUAACGGCCCACCAAGGCGACGAUCGGUAGCCGGACUGAGAGGUUGAACGGCCACAUUGGGACUGAGACACGGCCCAGACUCCUACGGGAGGCAGCAGUGGGGAAUAUUGCACAAUGGGGGAGACCCUGAUGCAGCGACGCCGCGUGGAGGAAGAAGGUCUUCGGAUUGUAAACUCCUGUUGUUGAGGAAGAUAAUGACGGUACUCAACAAGGAAGUGACGGCUAACUACGUG
This 466-nucleotide ribosomal RNA is filed under the name uncultured bacterium. RNAcentral's name for it is "partial 16S ribosomal RNA". It matches the Rfam family "Bacterial small subunit ribosomal RNA", at positions 28 to 507 of the family's 1533-position model. The record is from RNAcentral.